UCGAGCGGGAGCCCGGGGCAACCUGGCGGCCAGCGGCGGACGGGUGAGGAAUUCGUCGGAAUCUGCCUUUUUGUGGGGGAUAACGUAGGGAAACUUACGCUAAUACCGCAUACGACCUACGGGUGAAAGUGGGGGACCGCAAGGCCUCACGCAGAAAGAUGAGCCGACGACCGAUUAGCUAGUUGGUAGGGUAAAGGCCUACCAAGGCGACGAUCGGUAGCUGGUCUGAGAGGAUGAUCAGCCACACUGGGACUGAGACACGGCCCAGACUCCUACGGGAGGCAGCAGUGGGGAAUAUUGGACAAUGGGCGCAAGCCUGAUCCAGCCAUGCCGCGUGUGUGAAGAAGGCCUUCGGGUUGUAAAGCACUUUUGUCCGGAAAGAAAUCCUUCAACUUAAUACGUUGGGGGGAUGACGGUACCGGAAGAAUAAGCACCGGCUAACUUCGUGCCAGCAGCCGCGGUAAUACGAAGGGUGCAAGCGUUACUCGGAAUUACUGGGCGUAAAGCGUGCGUAGGCGGUUCGUUAAGUCUGACGUGAAAUCCCCGGGCUCAACCUGGGACGUGCGUUGGAAACUGGCGAUCUAGAGUACGGUAGAGGGUGGUGGAAUUCCCGGUGUAACAGUGAAAUGCCUAGAGAUCGGGAGGAACACUCGUGGCGAAGGCGGACACCUGAACCAGUUCUGGCGCUGACGCACGAAAGCGUGCGGAGCAAACAGGAUUGGAUACCCUGGUAGUCCACGCCCUAGACGAUGCGAACUGGGUGUUGGGCUCACUUCGGACCUCACUAUCCAAGCUAACGCGUUAAGUUCGCCGCCUGG
Molecule: ribosomal RNA, 818 nt
Filed under: Silanimonas sp. WST6-2
Lineage: Bacteria; Pseudomonadati; Pseudomonadota; Gammaproteobacteria; Lysobacterales; Lysobacteraceae
Description: bacterial SSU rRNA
Rfam family: Bacterial small subunit ribosomal RNA
Source: RNAcentral